GAAGAAUCAAGGACAGGUUGGAUUGGAGAAUGAGUGCAAGGUUUUACUGAGUGGAAGUAGCUCUCAGCAGAUAGGAGAGCCAGAAGGAAGAUGGAGUGGGAAGGCGGUUUUCUCCUGGAGUGGGGCUGCUCAGCGGCCUGGGCUCUCCUCCAACCGCCCUGGCCAAACUCACCGUGGUCCUACUGGAGGAUGGUCUGCCGGAGGAUGGCCUGCCGGAGGAUGGCCUGCCGGAGGAUGGCCUGCCGCAGGAUGGCCUGCCGGAGGAUGGCCUGCCGCAGUCUUCAGAAUGAAACAUCUUGGCCAGGCACAGUGGCUCAUGCCUGUAAUCCCAGCACUUUGGGAGGCCAAGGCAGGCGGAUCACCUGAGGUCGGGAAUUCAAGAUCAGCCUGACCAACAUGGAGAAACCCCGUCUCUACUAAACAUACAAAAAUUAGCCAGUCGUGGUGGUGCAUGCCUGUAUUCCCAGCUACUUGGGAGGCUGAGACAGGAGAAUCGCUUGAACCUGGGAGGCGGAGGUUGCAGUGAGCCAAGAUGACACCAUUGCACUCCAGUUGGGACAACAAGAAUGAAACUCCGUCUCAGAAAAAAAAAAAAAGAAUUUAAAUAGGCAUUUUAUUAAAAUUAUUUAACUGCGUUUUAUUAAAAUAUGCUU
RNAcentral lists this long non-coding RNA (653 nucleotides) under Homo sapiens (human). RNAcentral's name for it is "HSALNT0079297". The record is from RNAcentral. Lineage: Eukaryota; Metazoa; Chordata; Mammalia; Primates; Hominidae.